AGGACGAACGCUGGCGGCGUGCUUAACACAUGCAAGUCGAGCGAACCUUCGGGUUAGCGGCGAACGGGUGAGUAACACGUGGGCAACCUGCCCCAAGCUCUGGGAUAACCUCCGGAAACGGGGACUAAUACCGGAUAUGACUCUGGAAGACAUCUUCUUGAGUGGAAAGUUUUUCGGCUUGGGAUGGGCCCGCGGCCUAUCAGCUUGUUGGUGGGGUAACGGCCUACCAAGGCGACGACGGGUAGCCGGCCUGAGAGGGCGACCGGCCACACUGGGACUGAGACACGGCCCAGACUCCUACGGGAGGCAGCAGUGGGGAAUAUUGCGCAAUGGGCGAAAGCCUGACGCAGCGACGCCGCGUGAGGGAUGAAGGCCUUCGGGUUGUAAACCUCUUUCAGCAGGACGAAGCGAAAGUGACGGUACCUGCAGAAGAAGCACCGGCCAACUACGUGCCAGCAGCCGC
Molecule: ribosomal RNA, 463 nt
Filed under: uncultured bacterium
Lineage: Bacteria
Description: SSU rRNA
Rfam family: Bacterial small subunit ribosomal RNA
Source: RNAcentral